UACAGAGGUCCCGAGCGUUGUUCGGAUUCAUUGGGCGUAAAGGGUGCGUAGGCGGCGGGGAAAGUCUGAUGUGAAAUCCUGGGGCUCAACCCUGGAACUGCAUUGGAUACUUCCUUGCUAGAGUACUGGAGAGGAAACUGGAAUUUACGGCGUAGCAGUGAAAUGCGUAGAUAUCGUGAGGAACACCAGAGGCGAAGGCGGUUACCUGGACAGUUACUGACGCUCAGGCACGAAAGCAUGGGGAGCAAAAGGG
This 253-nucleotide ribosomal RNA is filed under the name uncultured bacterium. Its description in RNAcentral is "partial 16S ribosomal RNA". It matches the Rfam family "Bacterial small subunit ribosomal RNA", at positions 524 to 776 of the family's 1533-position model. The record is from RNAcentral.